GACGAACGCUGGCGGCGUGCUUAACACAUGCAAGUCGAACGGAAAGGCCCUGCUUGCAGGGUACUCGAGUGGCGAACGGGUGAGUAACACGUGGGUGAGCUGCCCUGCACUUCGGGAUAAGCCUGGGAAACUGGGUCUAAUACCGGAUAGGAGCCAUCUUUAGUGUGAUGGUUGGAAAGUUUUUUCGGUGUAGGAUGAGCUCGCGGCCUAUCAGCUUGUUGGUGGGGUAAUGGCCUACCAAGGCGGCGACGGGUAGCCGGCCUGAGAGGGUGGACGGCCACAUUGGGACUGAGAUACGGCCCAGACUCCUACGGGAGGCAGCAGUGGGGAAUAUUGCACAAUGGGCGCAAGCCUGAUGCAGCGACGCCGCGUGGGGGAUGACGGCCUUCGGGUUGUAAACUCCUUUCGCUAGGGACGAAGCUUUUUGUGACGGUACCUAGAUAAGAAGCACCGGCUAACUACGUG
This 465-nucleotide ribosomal RNA is filed under the name uncultured bacterium. RNAcentral describes it as "partial 16S ribosomal RNA". It matches the Rfam family "Bacterial small subunit ribosomal RNA", at positions 28 to 507 of the family's 1533-position model. The record is from RNAcentral.